RNAcentral lists this ribosomal RNA (497 nucleotides) under uncultured bacterium. RNAcentral's name for it is "partial 16S ribosomal RNA". It matches the Rfam family "Bacterial small subunit ribosomal RNA", at positions 28 to 507 of the family's 1533-position model. The record is from RNAcentral.
GAUGAACGCUGGCGGCGUGCCUAAUACAUGCAAGUCGAGCGAACAGAUGAGGAGCUUGCUCCUCUGACGUUAGCGGCGGACGGGUGAGUAACACGUGGAUAACCUACCUAUAAGACUGGGAUAACUUCGGGAAACCGGAGCUAAUACCGGAUAAUAUAUUGAACCGCAUGGUUCAAUAGUGAAAGACGGUUUUGCUGUCACUUAUAGAUGGAUCCGCGCCGCAUUAGCUAGUUGGUAAGGUAACGGCUUACCAAGGCAACGAUGCGUAGCCGACCUGAGAGGGUGGUCGGCCACACUGGAACGGAGACACGGUCCAGACUCCUACGGGAGGCAGCAGUAGGGAAUCUUCCGCAGUGGGCGAAAGCCUGACGGAGCAACGCCGCGUGAGUGAUGAAGGUCUUCGGAUCGUAAAACUCUGUUAUUAGGGAAGAACAAAUGUGUAAGUAACUAUGCACGUCUUGACGGUACCUAAUCAGAAAGCCACGGCUAACUACGUG